GCGGAGCGGGGGCCAUCGGCGCGCCUCGCUGAGCCCUCUCCCUCUCCCUCCAGUGCUGAAAUGGGAAGGCGGUCAAAUUCCCAGCCUCCCAUCGGGAUUCCACUUCCUGCCCACUAAUGUGUAAGCGCUCGGACUCGCCCUGACACCUGGAUUCCCCUGGUUUUCUCCAGAGAUGCCUCAGUACUUUGCAGCCUCCAGCCAAGGACUAACAAAGAGAAGCCUAAUUAAGAACAGCCUCAGUCCACUGCAAUUCUGACCAGAGUCAGCUUGGACUAUUCACCUACGAUGAUUUCUCAUCUCAUAACAGUAACUCUGGGAAGAAAGCAUCAGUAUUACACGGAAUGGAAUGGGCUGUGCUGGGAACCGAAUCAGGCCUCCUAAGAUGGGCAAGCCACGUGCACAGCUAAUUAGCUUACGAAGUGAAGAGGAGGAUGGCCUUUGUUACCUGCCCUGAAGGAGGGCUCCCUGACAUCUAUUUUCUCCCCACCAAGCCACAUACCCAGCAAGGAAAACAAUGGCCAAUUUUUCUCAGCAGCCAGACCUAAUGGAAUCAAGAUGCUCCACCGGCUGGCGGCCCACUCCUUGCUGUCAGAGGACACAAGCUCUAAAUUGAUUUGGUUAAUUCAGUGACAGAUGCUCCGAGCACCAGGCCUUGACCCCUUAAUGGAUGACCUCUCUUUAACCCAUCAGAAACCUCUUAGUUUCCUUUGGCUUAAGAGUCAUUACUUGGUCAAAAGAGAGAUAAAGGGUCAAUAAGCACUUCCAGGCCCCCGUAGAAAACAGGCCACGUUGAUUCCCUCCCUCUUCCCCCCACCGCCACUGCACGUCAUUUCCUUUUAUUUUUCUCCCUGGAGAGCAUCCCUGUUUUCUUAUGUGGACUUUGGCCUUUCUUAUAGAAAGAUCUUAGAAGGCACCUGGGUGGCUCAGUCGGUUAAGCGACCGACUUCAGCUCAGGUCACGAUC
Suricata suricatta (meerkat) is the source of this 963-nucleotide long non-coding RNA. RefSeq lists it as uncharacterized. NCBI's taxonomy places the organism in Eukaryota, Metazoa, Chordata, Mammalia, Carnivora, Herpestidae. The transcript is spliced from 3 exons. The record is from RefSeq and is a predicted model, not a curated record.